RNAcentral lists this ribosomal RNA (406 nucleotides) under uncultured bacterium. RNAcentral's name for it is "partial 16S ribosomal RNA". It matches the Rfam family "Bacterial small subunit ribosomal RNA", at positions 30 to 526 of the family's 1533-position model. The record is from RNAcentral.
AUUGAACGCUGGCGGCAGGCCUAACACAUGCAAGUCGAACGAGUGGCGGACGGGUGAGUAAUGUCUGGGACACUGCCUGAUGGAGGGGGAUAACUACUGGAAACGUUAGCUAAUACCGCAUACCAUCGGAUGUGCCCAGAUGGGCUUAGCUAGUAGGUGGGGUAAAGGCUCACAUGGACGACGAUCCCUAGCUGGUCUGAGAGGAUGACCAGCCAAACUGGAACGGAGACACGGUCCAGACGCCUACGGGAGGAAGCAGUGGGGAAUAUUGCACAAUGGGCGCAAGCAGGAUGCAGCCAUGCCGCGUGUAUGAAGAAGGCCUUCGGGUUGUAAAGUACGUUCAGCGGGGAGGCGUUACCCGCAGAAGAAGCACCGGCUAACUCCGUGCCAGCCGCCGCGGUAAUAC